AUUCCAUUAAUGACUACAAAGGAGGAACACUACUGACUAGAAUAAAUUUCGGCAGCAUUUUCCCAUUCAUUUACUUCAACUUGAGGAACCAGAAGGCCGACAUUAAAGAUGGUACCACCAAGUUGAUAUCACGAUCAAAGGGAGAAGUUGCUCAAGUCAUAUAAGAAGAAAGCACCUAUAACUCUUCGACUAAAGCAUAGCCAACUCUCAGGCUCCGAUACUGUGCUGUUAACAAAAAGCCAGAUUAAUCGAGUUGAGAAGUCGAAACGGAAUGGGACAGGGACUGACAUAAAAAUCAGUCAGACUCAGAUUAGAAAGCAGGAAGGUGGAUUCUUGGGCGCUCUAUUACCAGCACUUGCCCGCCUUGGGUCAGCAGCACUACCAUACCUAUCUAAGGCCGUCGCGCCAUUGGCCACGGGCGCUCUCAGUGGAUUAGCUAGUUGGGGUCUCAAUAAGGCCUUACCAAAGACUGGCUCUGGGCUAUUAAGUGUCCCGCAAGACAAAGUUGACAAACUAAUAAAGUAUAAGGGCUACCUUACGCAAAAACAAAAGGAGCAAAUCGUUUAAGCCCUCCAAGCUGGGUCUUUUAUCCCACAGUUUUAACUAACUAGAAAGCAACAGGAAGGUGGGUUCCUCGGGGCGUUUCUUGCCUCGAUCGGGGUGCCCCUGCUUAUGUCAGCUCUAUCGGGUAAAGGUCUCCAAGUAGACAACCGUCCUCAGAACUACCUUCAAACGUACAGAAUCCACCCAUAUAAGGGCAGCCGCCUAAGCUUAAGACCACCACCAUUUAGCGGUCAGUGGGAUGACCCAACGGUUGGAUAUGGAGUUAAACCAAAGAGAAGGCAGAAAAAAGAAGCAAAAGGCAAGGGGGCUCCUCCUAGGCAAAAACAACCCGUUCAACGGUAUCCCACUACUCGGAGCGCUGCUAUAAGGUUUGUUAAUAAACCACUUCCAAACAUCGACCUUCUAGAAUGGGUCACCAAGCUAGGCAUAAAACAUUUCAGAGGUGUAUAUAGUCGCGAUGAUCUACCCAAGCGGAUCCAUAAAAAGGAAUGUGGGAUAGUCAACCUCGACGAUAGUAGAGGAGCUGGAACUCAUUGGGUCUGCUACCGAAAUAUAGACGUACUGUGAAUACUUCGACAGCUUUGGAAUUGGAGUGCCACAUGAGGUUGAGCGGUACCUAGCUACGUCUGGAAAGGCACUUAUUCAGGGGAUGAGAGGCUGGCAGUACUUUGCGGCUGGAACCAUAGGUGAACCAUAGGUUCCUCAUAUCAUACUUUAGUGUACUCUAAUGAUAUAUGAAGUCUUACUGCGUCAAGGAGAAGAGAGUCACUGAUUGCAUCCCAGACUCUGAACGGUACGAGAAAACUAAAAACGGACGUACGAUGCUAAAGUGUACUUGUUCAUCAUGUGGUGGUAAACUAGAUAUCCAUAAGAUGAUCGGCUACCUGCCUAAGCCCAAGGGUGGGUUCACACCUGGGAGCUAUAAAUAUAUGGGGCCAUACAACCCGCUCGAGAAACAACUCGUAUACGACAAAGAGACUGGCCAAAUGACUGAUUGGAAGGUCAAACCGCUGAAUAAAGUAGACGAGAUCGCGGCGCACCAUGACAUAUGCUAUGACAUGGGGAAAAGCAAAGGGGAGUGCGACGGAAAAAUGGUCGAGUCGCUUGAUCGAAUACCGUAUGGUGAGAUGCCUAAGUGGGGGUCAACCGCACGUUGCCUUAUCAAUACAAAACCAAAACUCGGCCUCGGUGUUGAAAAGCCAAAAAACGGACAAAGCCGUUGAGUGAAGAGAACUGGCAAGAAGAACUAGCUGGUGAAUAACACAAGCCAGUAAAAAAGAAAUUCACCCGACGGCGCGUUAUAGUUUAUCGUACAGAUGAGAUAUGGUGUUCCGACUUCAGACUGGUGUUCUGAGAUGCAACAGUUUAGCAAAUGGAAUAAUACUUUUUCGAUACCUACUCAUGGUUUUAGAUGUAUUUAGUAAGUAUGGUUGUAUCAUACCGUUAAAAGACAAAAAAGGGUUAAACUGUUACUGAAGCAUUCAGAACAAUAUUCAAGGAAGGAAGAAAACCAGUGUAUGUAUGGGUCGAUAAAGGUAAAGAAUUCUAAAGGUAAAGAAACAGACACCUGAAAGACAUACUAGAAAAAAAUUAUAUACAAUGUAUUCGACUGAGAAUGAAGAAAAGAGCAGUGUUUGCGAACGAUGGAAUAGAACAAUUAUUACUAAAAUGUGGAGAUAGUUUACUGUUCAAGGUAAUACGCAAUAUUUAGAGAUGCUACCUAAGAUUUUAAAGUGCUGCUAUCUGUUAGAAGGAUAGGUAGGUACGAGCGUAAGACCCGCCAGAUACUCUCUUACAGCAUUGAAACUUAAGUGCAUCACUAGCCAUCUUAAGUGCAUAACUAGGUGAGAACCAAGUGAGCAGUGAUAUGAGAAUAAGAUCAUAUAGUAUGGGCUAUCAAAAGGGCUCACCAGAAUUGAUAAUCCAAAAUCUACAUAAGGACUACACAGGCUUUGCGAUCGAGUUUAAUAGCCCUGAAGGAACUGGCAGACUAUCGGACAAACAACAGGUGAUGUUACAAAAUUAUAAGGAAAACAAUUAUAAGGUGCUGGUAAGUAACGACUAUGAUGAGAUUAUAGAAGGGCUUGUUAAGUACUUUGAAGGGGUGAGAGUUCAGUGUGCGUGCUGCUCUAGGAGGUUCAAAUCUGCAGACACUUUGGGGAACCACCUGAGGUACAUCCACAGGCAUUUAUAGAAAAGGGAUAUAGUUGAAGUAUAUAUGGAAGUCAAAAGAGCUAGAGGACGCCCCCAGUGUAUGCAACCGAUGAAAAAAGAAUGGACUCUAUAAGACGAUCAAAGAACAAACACAUGCUAAACAAGGAGUGGUACUGCCCAGUGUGUAAGAACGGUAAGAACUACACCUUAGCUGGAAAAAAUAACCACACGAACAUAAAAAGACAUCAGAAAAAACAGGCCACAUGCAACAUAAUCAACGUUUUUACCAAUACACUCUAGAAAAUUAAAAACACAUAGAAGCGAACAAUCCGACGGGUCCACUCGGAUUAAAGGAAAUUUCGUUGGACACUUUAAAAUAAAUUGUAUAGUAUAGUAUAUUAUUGAGCGACUCACAGAAAAUAUCAAACCUUAAUAUAGAUAUGAAUGAGAGAGACCUUAAUAAAUUAAGUAAGUCUGAACUCAUCAAAUUGCUUCUGAAGCUAGGAAGUAAUAGGCCAAUCCCUAAACCUCGUACCAAUAAACCAAGACCGCCAGUGCCCACACCAUGCAAGAGUGGCUCAGUAGUAUGAAGAACACAUAAUACUACCACCUCCAGAGUUCCAAGACAGGCCAGCUCCUACACCUAGGACCUAAAGACCAACUUCUACAGCUAGGGUUCGUAGGCCAGUCCCCACACCUAAGACCAGUAGGCCAGUCCCAAUACCUAAGACUAAAAUAACGCAGACGAAGCGCGCCUUGAGGAGCUACACCAUGUCAUUCAAAGUUGGGACAAAGAAUGGUAGAGGCCCUCUAGCACAACUGCAUAGCACGGACAAGGCCGUGAACUACCACAUCACAAAGACGCUAGAACUUAUGAAAGGCCUCAAAUUCGGCUCAGCAUUAUAGAUCACAUUCAGGAAGAGUGCCGGCGACAACUUAGAGUUUAAGACCGCCUUCUUUAACAGUACACCCCAAACAAUCAUCAAUAACACCGAGAUUGACGAGGAGUUGAAGAACACUUAUGAGCAAAUCCUGAAUAGGAUAUCCCAAUGGGUAUCUAAAGGAUCUGGCUGGGCUAUAGAUAAAGUCGAUGGCCAGUACCUCAAUAUCGUAAAAUACCAGCCGAUGAGAGGGUUAUCAUACAUCCAACUACCGGUAGGACUACGAGACAGACGGCUGGUCAAAGUGAAGAACGAGGACAAUUGAGUGCUUCAGAUGUUGUCGCAUCAGACAUUUGAACCCACAAAGUAAAAACCUUCAGCGAUUCAAGAAAUCCGACAAGGCACUCGUCAACGAACUAGACUACUCAGGUGUUGAGUUUCCAGUGACUACCAAACACUAUAGUAGGAUCGAGAAACAGAACAGCAUUAACAUAAAUGUAUUCAGCUAUGAUGACAAACAACCAUACCCAAUAUACGUAUCAAAGGAGAGGUUCGAGGACCACAUGGAGCUCCUACUGAUGGUACUGCUACUGAUCACUGAUGGUAGUAACCAGCAUUACCUACUUAUCAAAGACUUCAACAAAUUCAUAUUCAAACAGACGAAACAUAAACAUAGGAAGCACUUUUGCAUGAGCUGCCUCCAGUGUUUCAGCUCUGAAAGAGUACUAACAAGCCAUGUUGAAAACUGCCUCGAGAUCAAUGGGGCACAGGCGAUCAAGAUGCCUGACAAAGAGCACAACGCACUCAAGUUCACAAACCACGACAAACAACCGCUAGUUCCAUUCGUCAUCUACGCCGACUUUGAAGCUAUAACUGAGAAAAUCAAUGGGUGCCAACCUAACGACAGCCAGUCGUACACUGGAGCCUACCAGAGACACACAGACUGUUGGUUCGGUUAUGAAGUGAUCUGCACCUACGACGACAAGUACUCAAAGCAAACGCGGCUAUACAGAAAGCCUUGUACAAGUUUAUGGAGAAGAUGUUGGAGGAAGUCAAAUGCUGCAUGAGCAUCAUGAGGAAGCACUUCAAUAAUGCACUAACAAUAUCGAAGUAUGAUGAGGACCGAUUCCAAAAAUCCCAAGAGUGCCACAUAUGCGACAAGGAAUAUACUAAGGAGGACACUCGAGCUCGAGACCACUGCGACAUAACUGGUAAGUACAGAGGCUCGGCACACCGAGAGUUAAACCUACAACUUAGAGUCGACCCUGAUAAAAUAAAGAUACCCGUCAUAUUCCACAACCUAUGAGGAGGACAGCCAUUUCACAAUGCAAGAGAUUGGAGCUAUAGUCAAGAAGCACACAUAUGUGAACAGCAAGGGUGAAGAGAAGCAAAUUAACAUCAACGCAAUGUUCAAAGAGCACUUUCAGCUCUUUGAACAUCUGGUCUUGUAUGGGACGCCAUGUUAAAAAUGACUGACAUCCAACUAGAACUAAUGACAGAAAUCGACAUGUUCCAACUUAUCGAGAAGGAUAUGCGAGGUGGCAUAUCAUACAUAGCCAACAGAUACAGCAAGGCCAACAAUAAGUACAUGGAAUCAUUCGACGAGACGGCGCCCUCGAAGUAUGUUAUGUAUUUGGAGGCAAAUAACUUGUAUAGAUGGGCUUUGAGUCAGUAUCUACCAAAUGGUGGAUUCAGAUGGAUGACAGAGAAGAGAAUCGAAAAACUAAACCUAGCUAAGUACAGCGAGAGUAGUAAAAAGGGGUUGAUACUAGAAGUCGACCUAGAGUACCCUAAAAGCCUACCCACUAGCCGCGGAGAGAGUAAACGUAUCAAAGGACAUGCUAUCAGAGUACUGCGACAAGAUAGCAACAAAAUACGGCAUACAAACAAGUAAAGUCUCAAAGCUGAUCCCAACCUUAAUAGACAAAGAGUAAUACGUACUACACUAUAGAAAUCUCCAGCUAUACACAGACCUAGGCCUAAAAGUCCACCGAGUUUUAGAGUUCGACCAAUCACCAUGGCUAAAGCAGUACAUAGACCUCAACACUGAAAAACAUAAGAACGCCAAAAACUCAUUCGAGAAAGACUUCUUCGAAUUUAUGAACAACAGCCUGUUCGGAAAGACCAUGGAGAACCUAGGAAAAAAAGUAUACGUCCGACUGGUGACUGAUGAGAAGAAACUACUAAAAAUGACAAGCAAGCCCGCCUAUGUGAGUAGUAAGAUAUUCAACGAGGACUUAGUGGCUGUCCACAAGAUCAAGGAGACGCUGACACUAAACAGGCCAGCCUAUGUGGGUAUGUGCAUCCUAGACCUCAGCAAGGUACUAGGUACGACCUCCACUACAACUACAUCAAAGUGAAGUACGGAGACAGGGCAAGGCUACUAUUCACAGAUACAGACAGUCUGACCUAUGAGAUAGAGGCAGAAGACGUGUAUCAAGAUUUCUGGAACGACAAAGACAACUUUGACAAUAGCGACUACCCAAAGAGCUCCACAUACUUCAACGAAACAAACAAGAAAGUCAUCGGUAAGUUCAAAGAUGAGGCUGCAGGAAUCCCCAUCUGCGAGUUUGUCGGACUGCGAUCUAAAAUGUACAACUAUGUGAAAAGCGACCAAUCAGGAGGAAAGACAGCAAAGGGAAUCAAAAAGAAUGUAAUCAAAAGUAACAUCAAGCAUUAAGACUAUAGAAAGACAUUAAUUGACGACAGACAGAUGCACCACAAAAUGAAGACCAUCAGAAGCCAAAACUAUAAGUUAGGAAGCUAUGAAAUCAAUCAAGUGUCACUUAGCUGCUUUGACGAUAAAAGGUAUAUAUACGGGCACUAUAAGAUCGGACAAUAACCCCGAUCACCCAUUUGACUAAUGAAUCUUUAUUUGACACAUACUGGCAUCCACUAAUCUGGAGAAGAUAUACCAUCCUCACGCACCGAAACUAUUUAAAAAUAAUUUCAUGGAAAUUGAACGAUUGGUAAGAAAGUCAACAGUUGUCACUCACAACGACAGAGGCGAAGAGACCACACUGUCUGUUGAGGUAUACUACGACGGUGAGGAGCAUCCGUAUGCGGCCUACGGUAUGCAUAUCUACAAAGACCCAAAGGGCGAGAUGCACAGCAAAUUCGGCAGGUUCUCCGUAGCGACAGACCGCGAGGAGUACAAGAUCAGAUCUGGCAGAUCUGAUAGACACACCGACUACUCCUUUCACAAAAUUGGACAAGACUACAAAAAGUCAGGCGUUAAUAAGGUUAGGAACGAAGUAUUCAAGUAAUAAAAAUACGAAGACUGAAGCAGGAAAGUGGUCGAAAAGGUCAACGUCACUCGCAUGGGUGAGAUCGUGGUAGACGGGAGCAUGGAGAGGAUGACGAUCUACCCAAGUAGGAGCCGCCAGUGGAUCCGGAUGUCAGGGAAGGGCAGCCCGGAGGGCGAGCCCAGGCGAAUCGAGCCUGCGCUUUUCUGCACCAAGUCUGGACAACUCGCCCGCGAUUCACUCCUAGGAAAUGAAAUAUUAUUGCGUUGCCAUGCCUCUAAGCAAAUCUAGGACAUUCCACUUUGCCAGCGGGAAAGUUCCUAAAUACAAUAUAGACAUAUUUAUACUUGCCUGCGGGGGGUUCCCCUUACUCGCUCCUAAGAAUUAAAAUUCCAAGAAAGUCACGCAACAGCCGUGAACAUAAAAUGAGACCCGCACACACCGCACGGAUCCCACGAAAUGAAGAAAGCAUAUAGUUCCAGUAAUUUAUUCAUAAGCUGACACCAAAAUCUUGUACCAUAUAGUCUCACCACAAUAUGAUACCAUAUAGUUUCACCAAAACUUUUAUCAUAUAGUUUCACCAAAAUGGGAUACCAUAUAGUUUCACCAAAAUCUUUUAUCAUAUAGUUUCAGCAAAAUGUGAUACCAUACAAUCAUACCAGAAUAUGACACCAUACAAUGGUGAGUAGUAUAGACUUGAUUUGAGCACAUUCCGUAGGAGUGGUUGCUUUAGUGUCAAAAUGGAGGCUGAUAAAGACCCUCUCUGAUACUCUGAUUCAUCAGAGUCAAAAUCUGAGUCUGACUCUGAUUCAGACAAAUUAAAGCUAACCACAUCACUAAGCUCAUCCAUCAUUAAAUCAACCAUUUCACUAAGCUCAUCCGUCAUUAAGAACUUAUUAUCAACCAUUUCACUAAGCUCAUCCAUUUUAAGAACCUUAUUCUCAACCAUCCCACUAAGCUCAUUUUUAAGAACCUCCUUAUUUUCAACUAUAGAGCAAUCGUCGACUUAAGCUUGAGCUGUAGGGCUUGUAGCUGUAGAGCUUAGCUAUUGCUGGUUUAGAGCUGCAGUAGGAUGAUAAGACAUUCGUGCGUCAUGUGACAUUCACGAGAUGUAGUCGAUAUACACUCGCAAAGUAAAGUUUCUUACCGCUUUAUACACGAGUUUAACAUGUAAAUUUAUUUUGUUCCGAGAUUAAUGUAAUUUCCAUUUUAUACGUGCUGCGAAUGUCACGGGGACUUUUCUCGCUAAUGUAAACAACCAUUUUCGCGAAACCUCUGCAAUAUCGCUUAAUAAAAUACUGCGAAUAUCACAAAUGGCGAUUAGGGUCAACAGUCGAAAAAUUGACAAUUUAAAAGCUAAAAAAAAUUGUUUGCAAAAGGGAUACCGGAAAACAAAUGUUUGCCUGAAAAAAUUAUACCAGCCCCCCCCCAAAAAAAAAAAAAAACAAAAAAACAAUAAUAAUAAUGGUCCGUCCCUAAGGAUCCAAAGCGCUUAAAUUUUUUAGUUUCCCUAUUGGUCGCGGGUUUCAAGUCGCGGUUGCGGGUUUCCAGGGUGCAGGUUUGAAAAAGCUACGCGUUUGAUUUUCUUUAGGGGGUGGGGGAUGUUUUGUCAUAAAUAUAUAUCUUUUGGCGCGCGAAAAUUAAAUAUCCGAAAAAGAAAACACCAGAGAGCGGGGAAGCGGGCAAUUUUCUGUAAGUUGAUGACAGAUCCCCUUACAGGCAGUCAUGGUUACGAUCUGUCGCCAAUACGCAAUCCAGUUGUACUUGUAUAGCAUUGUACUAUAGUUUUAUCUUUUUUUAAUUGUACUAUUGCAUUGUACAUUGUACUAUUUAAUUUUACUAUAGUCGAAUAUUUAGUUCAGUCUCUCGAUAUAAUCCAACAUUCAAUUUUUUGCAUGGUUUUCGGACGAAAUGUAAAAAAUGGCUCAGCUUUUUGAGAUGUAUGCCGAGGAAUUAUCAAUGGAAAAGUCUAUGCACGUCUUCGACCUUCGACCGAUAAUUUUACGGACUCUUCGCAUAUUUGUUCUUUCGAGACUUACGAGACCUUUCACAUAGUUUAAUCCAUAAAACACCUAGUAUUACAAAUUACGCUAUGUAAGACCAAAGUUUCGUAAUCAUGCUUUAAUCUAGCCUUUUUUCUAUUAUACCUAACAGAUAACCCGCACCCGCACCCGCACCUUAGAACCCGUGACCCGCGACCAUUAGGAAAACUCUGAGAUUUUUGUCAAAGCAAUUCCUACAUAAUUCGCUUCAUAACAAAGUUUAAAACAGAUUGUAUAAUUUUCACUCGCUCUAUUUCGAGCUAAAAUUUGGCAUGUUUACAGCCAAAUUCGUUGUGGCUCGGCUUCGGCGAAUCCAAAAUCUUUUUGUCGUUUGGGAAUAGCGCGUAGCCAGACAUAAGCUUUGGGGGCGGUUUGUCUGGUUUUGAUUGUUUGGUUUGAUUGACUACGCGCUAUUCCCGCAGACAAAGAAACAAAAUUUGGAUUCUGGGAGGUCGGGCAACAACGAAUUCGGCUAUAACAUAAACGAUACAAAGAAGAAAGCGAUAUACAAGUGGUUUCUAGACCAAAUCUACAUAAGAUCUCCGUAGUUGUAGUGGUCAGAUCAUUAGCCUGUUAGCUAGAAUGUAGCUGCUUCGAGUCUCGAAUAUGGUGAUUUUUUCUCCAUCUCGCUUUUUACUCGGGCUACCUGUGGUAGCACGAGCCUAGGUUUCGGUUUUCUAUCUAUCUAUCGACGUUGUCGAAAACGUGUAAGCCUGCGAUGCUCAGAGGUCUGCGGUAUGCUCUGCCUGAAAGCGAGGCGGCUUUUGUGGAAGACUCUUUUCGUUCGCGAAAGUCUCUAUCGUUUGAUUUUAAUACGGGGACGCUCACUACUCACACAAAUGCACACACCGUCCGCGAUAGACCCGAACCGCAAUAGAUCGAACUGAAAGAAGAAGUGAGCUUGAAGAAUUCCGUCAUAUUGAAAAACAAUCUGUUCCUUCGAUACUUUGUAAGUCGUGAAGACAAUAUAAUGAUUACCUUUUUCGUGCUAUCUACUAGUUUAUUAUUUGUUUUAAUGUCACUAAGUCUUUUGGAGAUAUUUUUUUCGUUUUUCUGUUGAAAAGAAAGGCGAUUGUAUUUAGCAUGUUUGUAAUCAUUAGUCUUAUCGCGCUCGUGUCGCUUGUAUACUAUAUGCUAGACUACAGUAGUCCAUGGACAAUUUAUUAAUGUCGUUAGAAAACGAUAUUGUGAUUUGUUUGAAAAAGCUGUAAGUUUGCCGUUGAUGUAAAUACAAUGCAGUGCAAUUUUUAUCUC
Nematostella vectensis (starlet sea anemone) is the source of this 10140-nucleotide long non-coding RNA. RefSeq lists it as uncharacterized. Lineage: Eukaryota; Metazoa; Cnidaria; Anthozoa; Actiniaria; Edwardsiidae. The transcript is spliced from 2 exons. The record is from RefSeq and is a predicted model, not a curated record.